This is a non-coding RNA of Taeniopygia guttata (zebra finch), 1444 nucleotides long. NCBI's taxonomy places the organism in Eukaryota, Metazoa, Chordata, Aves, Passeriformes, Estrildidae. The record is from RefSeq and is a predicted model, not a curated record.
AAAAAAAAAGAAUAUGUCAAAUGUAUUAGAAAAGCUUGUUCAACCUGAGUGAUGCCUUGGGAACAAUGAAAUGUACAGCAGGGAAUAUAUAUACUAACAAUACUCUGCAUAAGAACAUUUAGUAACAUUUUUCUAUCCUUCCUGAAACUAAUUAGUCUGUAUGACACUUAUUGCUUUUAUUGAACACCUCACAGUGCAUGCAAGAAGUGUGUUGCAUCUCCUGUGCAAAAGAGUUACUUCAAGAUCCCACUGCCUUUUUGGUAGUGAAACAGCUGAUCUGUUCCUUUGGAACCUGUUCAGCUCAGGUGUGGCAAAGGAAAUCAAGUUUAAGACACGUAUGUUAACUAUCUGUGAGGCAGAACCUGUGCUGAAUUUCAGCACUCUGUGAUCACAUAAUGCAGAAGACACAUCUAUUUAUUUAAAUGAGCUGUGUUUUACAGCUCCUCCUGAGAAUGUUAUGGGCUGUAAUUCAAACUCUGGCCAAAGGAGUCUUAAACUGCUGAUCUAUGGAAUUUGGAAAACAUAGCAUACUUUCAAGUAUGCUUCCAUCAGUGAUCACCACAAAUAGAGACAAGAAUGCUGAACUAGAUGAGCACUUGGUUUAAGGCAACACAGGCCUUUCACUUGUUUUCUUAUUCAUAGACUUCAUAAUCAUUCUUCGUAAUCAAUAACCAGUUUUCUAAGUGGAAGCCAGCCUGCCACCAAGGACCAGAUGCGCAUCCCACAUAUAUGUACAAACUGCUUCCUGAAGAGCCAGAUGCCAUGAAAUUGUCAGGAAAGGAUGCCCUCUCACAUGCCCCCCAGCCAGGAGGAGAUUGUUUCUGACUGUAUCAGAAAUUUGUGCUUAAGCCCAAGAUUUAACUACACAGCAUAACACAGAGUAAGAUUGUUGUUACAGUUAGUUGCUUAAGGCUUUGGAUGAAAAAGAUUUUAUAGCUCAGAUAUGCUUUUUCUUUCAGCACUUACCUUCAACAUGCGACAUGAAAAGUAACUAAAGUGAGUCACAGGAGCUGUAAGCCUGUUCAGCCAAGCAGACACAGAGCAAAAACACUUAAAGCCUUUUAGGAGUCAAGAGAUCUGCAGUUAACGCCCUUGGUGAGUAAAGAUUUGGUGCUUCUCCACGACUCCCAUGCUGGCCACAGCUGACAGGAAGGUUCCAGGAAUGUGAGUAUCUACAGAAUCCAUAAAAACAAGGCUAAACAUCAGUCAUCAGCUCCCCCACCUAUUCCUCUGGGGGGAACAAUUGCUUCUGACUGAUGAAAUUUAUUGGGCAUUGGAUAAAACCUACAAAAUCCAGACUGUGCUAUUUGGAUUUAGUCUGUUUACAGGAGCUACUUUAUCUUACUUGGUUUUUUCCACCGUUUAGACCCAUUAGAAACAACCAUUAUUGCCAAACACUGAUGCAUACAUUAAAGCAAUUCAGGAAUUCAUAGCUUAAAACACA